AUGUCGAUAGUUUAAUUUGGAGAAAACUUUUACCUUCUAAGUAAAAAAUUAUAGGUUCAAGUCCUAUUCGACAUU
This is a transfer RNA of 75 nucleotides. It matches the Rfam family "tRNA". Rfam says of the family: Transfer RNA (tRNA) molecules are approximately 80 nucleotides in length. Their secondary structure includes four short double-helical elements and three loops (D, anti-codon, and T loops). Further hydrogen bonds mediate the characteristic L-shaped molecular structure. tRNAs have two regions of fundamental functional importance: the anti-codon, which is responsible for specific mRNA codon recognition, and the 3' end, to which the tRNAs corresponding amino acid is attached (by aminoacyl-tRNA synthetases). tRNAs cope with the degeneracy of the genetic code in two manners: having more than one tRNA (with a specific anti-codon) for a particular amino acid; and 'wobble' base-pairing, i.e. permitting non-standard base-pairing at the 3rd anti-codon position.